UUAACUCAAAUUUGUAUGGUGUUAGAAUGUUUGCCUACGUUUGCCGCUAGGGGCGCUGUUCCAACUGCAUACAAAUUUGAGUUA
Non-coding RNA from Bombyx mori (domestic silkworm), 84 nucleotides. The record is from Rfam. Lineage: Eukaryota; Metazoa; Arthropoda; Insecta; Lepidoptera; Bombycidae.